GACGAACGCUGGCGGCGUGCUUAACACAUGCAAGUCGAACGGAAAGGCCCUGCUAUUGUGGGGUGCUCGAGUGGCGAACGAGUGAGUAACACGUGAGUCACCUGCCCUUGACUUUGGGAUAACUUCAGGAAACUGGGGCUAAUACCGGAUAGGAGCUCCUGCUGCAUGGUGGGGGUUGGAAAGUUUCGGCGGUUGGGGAUGGACUCGCGGCUUCACAGCUUGUUGGUGGGGUAGUGGCUUACCAAGGCUUUGACGGGUAGCCGGCCUGAGAGGGUGACCGGCCACAUGGGGACUGUGGUACUGCCCAGACUCGUACUGGAGGCAGCAGUGGCGAAUAUUGCACUAUGGGCGGAAGCCUGAUGCAGCAACGCCGCGUGCGGGAUGGCGGCCUUCGGGUUGUAAACCGCUUUCGCCUGUGACUAAGCGUGAGUGACGGUAAUGGGUAAAGAAGCACCGGCUAACUACGUG
This 468-nucleotide ribosomal RNA is filed under the name uncultured bacterium. RNAcentral's name for it is "partial 16S ribosomal RNA". It matches the Rfam family "Bacterial small subunit ribosomal RNA", at positions 28 to 507 of the family's 1533-position model. The record is from RNAcentral.